UGCCUCUUUGUCCCUUUGCCCUUCGCCGCCGCCACCAGUUCACCACUAAAUGCUUCCUACUCUUGAACCAUGAUCUGCUGAUCUUCUUGCCACCAGUUACAGACCCUACUGUUAACUGAACGACAGAACAACAACUUAACAGAUUCAACGAAAGCCAACCUCCGCGGAACCCAUGGCAGAAUAUCCGAUGAGAAACGAACAGCAAGGAAUUGUUCAGAAUCUGGGUAUUCAGGUGAAGAAGGAAGAGAAUUAAGAGCUCAUGUGGGUCUAAUGGAAAGAAAAAGCCAAAUGAUAAUUUUGAUUGAAACCCAUUUGGGAAAGAUAAGGAUGAUGAUGUUAAGUUGGAGUUUGCUAGUCCAAUUGUAGAAGAGAACCUGGUCUGUGAGUACUAUGAUGUUUUGCCGUGAAUGGUUGCUACCUGUUUUCCUUACCUUCCUCAUUACGAUGCUUUUACGGCACUGAACUUAAUUAGGCUUCAAUUUUCACACUUUUUUUUGUUCACCUUUUGAGUUCAGCAACAACAUUCUGUAUCCUGAAGAGGUCAAGGACCAGAAGAUUCUUCUCUGUGCUUGCUAUAACUAUGACCACCAGGUGAAGCUCUUAGGAAUUGUAGGAAGCCCAUUUGUAAGCACAGAGGAGAUUGCUUUGAAACUGAAAGGAGUGAAAUAUGAAUACCUUCAUGAAUAUGUUAAAAAGGAAAGUGAUCUUCUAAAGUACAAUCUAGUUCACAAGCUAGUUUCCUAUGCUGGUUCAGAAUGAAAAACCUAUAUAUUCCAGAUGUUCGCAAUGCCAGCCCUGCUCCUCAACCAGUGGCUCUCAUAUAUAGUUAUAAGUUAUGUUCACUAUACAUUCAGGUGGCCCACUUCAGGUUCAAGUAUCC
Molecule: long non-coding RNA, 880 nt
Organism: Prosopis cineraria
Lineage: Eukaryota; Viridiplantae; Streptophyta; Magnoliopsida; Fabales; Fabaceae
Exons: 3
Source: RefSeq, a predicted model, not a curated record